RNAcentral lists this non-coding RNA (29 nucleotides) under Rattus norvegicus (Norway rat). The record is from RNAcentral. Lineage: Eukaryota; Metazoa; Chordata; Mammalia; Rodentia; Muridae.
CUUUCUGAUUUGACCCUUAAAGUGACCCU